CUUCAAUUUCAUUCUUAAGUUGUCAGCACUCUUCAGUGUCAUGACUGUGAUCUCGGUAGAAGUGACAAUACUUUCUUUUAUGCCUUUUCGAAGGUGGAGCUCUCGCAGGGUUAGGUCGGUGGAGAUAUUCUUUAUCCUCAAUUUUUAUCAAAAAUUGAGCUCUAGGAGCAGACAAUGAAGUAUAAUAAUUAAACUUCCGAAGUGGACUUCUCGACCUCAGAUUUUUUUGAGAUCGGUCUUCCUAUCGACUUGCGCGGUCUUCUU
Molecule: long non-coding RNA, 264 nt
Filed under: Elaeis guineensis (African oil palm)
Lineage: Eukaryota; Viridiplantae; Streptophyta; Magnoliopsida; Arecales; Arecaceae
Description: long non-coding RNA (EGUI_LNC038345)
Source: RNAcentral